Molecule: ribosomal RNA, 429 nt
Filed under: Gemmatimonadota bacterium
Lineage: Bacteria; Pseudomonadati; Gemmatimonadota
Description: Gemmatimonadetes bacterium partial 16S ribosomal RNA
Rfam family: Bacterial small subunit ribosomal RNA
Source: RNAcentral
UAGGGAAUCUUCGGCAAUGGACGAAAGUCUGACCGAGCAACGCCGCGUGAGUGAAGAAGGUUCUCGGAUCGUAAAACUCUGUUGUUAGAGAAGAACAAGGACGUUAGUAACUGAACGUCCCCUGACGGUAUCUAACCAGAAAGCCACGGCUAACUACGUGCCAGCAGCCCCGGUAAUACGUAGGUGGCAAGCGUUGUCCGGAUUUAUUGGGCGUAAAGCGAGUGCAGGCGGUUUCUUAAGUCUGAUGUGAAAGCCCCCGGCUCAACCGGGGAGGGUCAUUGGAAACGGGGGGACUUGAGUGCAGAAGGGGGGAGUGGAAUUCCAUGUGUAGCGGUGAAAUGCGUAGAUAUAUGGAGGAACACCAGUGGCGAAGGCGGCUCUCUGGUCUGUAACUGACGCUGAGGCUCGAAAGCGUGGGGAGCAAACAGG